AUAUCCCCAAUGGGGCAAGCUGGGCGCGGAAGGCGGGUGAGCGAGGAAGCCCUUGGGUUGUAAAACUGUUUCUUAAGGAAGAAUAAAUCAGGUACUUGAGGAGAAAGCCCGGUAUAAUUACGUCCCACCAGCCGCGAUAAUAUGUAGGGGCGCAAGCUUUAUCCGAAAUCUCGGGGUGUAAAGGGGGGGUAGGGGGUUCAACAAGUCAGAAGUAAAAGGCAUUGGCUCAACCAAUGUAAGCUUUUGAAACUGUUGAACUUGAGUACAGGAGAGGUAAGUGGAAUUCCUAGUGUAGAGGUGAAAUUCGUAGAUAUUAGGAGGAACACCAGUGGCGAAGGCGACUUACUGGACUGUAACUGACACUGAGGCACGAAAGCGUGGGGAGCGAACAGGAUUAGAUACCCUGGUAGUCCACGCCGUA
RNAcentral lists this ribosomal RNA (421 nucleotides) under uncultured marine bacterium. RNAcentral's name for it is "bacterial SSU rRNA". It matches the Rfam family "Bacterial small subunit ribosomal RNA", at positions 359 to 804 of the family's 1533-position model. The record is from RNAcentral.